This 5439-nucleotide long non-coding RNA is filed under the name Mus musculus (house mouse). RNAcentral's name for it is "long non-coding RNA chr7:122313063-122318502". Lineage: Eukaryota; Metazoa; Chordata; Mammalia; Rodentia; Muridae. The record is from RNAcentral.
UUGACUGCACAAGGCGGAAUGCUUAAUCCCAUUGAGCUUGUGUUUUCUCACUUUGAAAGUGGGACUGAUAGACCAACACUCCGUGAGCCUUCCAAAGCUAGACCAACAGGAAGAGACUGUCACUCCAGGCACUGGAGCAGCACAAGGCUGAUGAAAACAAACCAGGACAAACACAAAUACUCAGCAGGGAGGGCUGAGGGAAGGGGCGGUUUGUAGCUCAGUGGUAUAGCGCUUUCCUCUGCACCCUGUAUUUCUAUGGGUUCCGAGAAGAGAUUUGCAAAUUCUUUACAGACAGAGCCAGGAGAGAUGAACUCUACAGCUUUCCCAGAGUAAAACACUAACCCGCAUCCCCACAUGGAGACCAAAAAUGAAAUGCAAGACUUCUACAGGAGGCAUGGGUUAUAGCCUCUGGCAUCAGGGCAAAUGCUGCUUGGAAACACAUGAUCUUCUGUUCUCUGGGCCCUGUUUUGGCUUUAGUAAGAGUUUCUAAUUACUGAGUGUUUAUUCGGGGCCAGGGUUAGAUGGAGCAAGUGCAUCAUCUCCGCUCAAACAGGGAAAACCAAGACUUGACACAGCGGUCAAGGUCCAGCGUGUCCGACAGAGUGGGCUGUGGUUGUCCUUCGCUUCAGUCUACCAGUACCUCUGUAUUAUUAACCCUGUAGAAUUGACUGGCCCCCAUCCCGUAUCUGGCCCCGUGGCUCCCCAAAUUCCCACGUAAGGACUGAGAGGGGAGUAAACUUUUUCUUGUAAGCUCCCACCUCAGCUCAUUUGGAAAUUCCCCCACUUUCCCCUGCCUGGGGUGUGAAUGGUCUUCCCCUUCAUUAAGCUUGACCACGAGAUGCGGCCUGAAUCUGGAACAUGCACAUCACUCUGAAAACGUCUGCCAUCUCCCCUUUAGUGUGGACGUUCUCUGUGUAAGCCAGCGUCUCUCCGCAGGCCUUCCUUCCAACUCUGAAUUCUUCCUCUGGUGCGUAUGGCCUGGAAACACUGUGUAGCGUGCUGGGCUCUACCUCUCUCCAAGUCUCCUCUCUGUAGCUCUCACCCCCUAAACUUCUGAGCACUGUUGGUCUCCUGAGGUCUUAGUUCUAAGUUUGUUUUUAGAUAGCAGUGGAUCUCUGUGGGUGAAGAUAGGGCAGAGAACUCCUAUUCAUUGGACUUGACUCAUUUCACAGAUUAGAAACCAAGGUGAAGUGGUUUGUCCAGUGUCAGUGUGGAGAACUGUCUAUUGUUACAGUUGCUUGCUUAAUCUCACACCCAUUGCUCUGUGACUUAUAGUGUCCACUUGCAAGAGAGAUGUGGUUUCCUGUUAUACUGGCGUGGAGCUUGGCCAUGGGGCAUGCUUUAGACAGUGGUCUAAUGGGGGCAUACUUUGUAUUGACUUGGUAGCUUUAAGAGCAAUUGCUUGGUAUGGGUAUUGUUCUUUUUUUUUUUUCUUUUGUUGCCAUAAGAUUAAGAAAAGGCCAUUUCUUGGGAUGGAAAAGACAUAUGGAACAGAGCCACAGGAAAUUGCUAUAACAUGUAGUGUUAGCAAGAACGAAGUGUUGAAGAUGCUUGGGGCUGCUUGUUAUUGCAGCUUUAUAUAGCAAAAGCUGACUAAUACAUAAUUAUACUAGUUAUUAGGACUAAUAAUUAGUUAUAAACUAAUAAGUCACUUGGCUAAUCUGGAAUUUGCCUAUUUCUUCCACAGAUUUCAGUCUUCCCUAAUAUUCUGCUGUCCAAUGAUGAUCUUGUCAUGGACUGUCUGUGUUGGUUAGUUUUCUGUUGCUAUGGUAACAUUAAGACCAAGGUAACUUUCUGAAGAGAGCAUUUGUCUGGGCUUUACAGUUCUAGAAGAUUAGAUCCACGAUGGUAGAACAAAGGCACCAGGAGCGUAAAGAUGGGGACUCAACCUUGGACCACAAGCAGGAAGCAGAGAGGGCAGGCUAGAAAUGGUUCCGGUUUUAAACUCCCAAAGCUGCCCUCCAAGUGACAUACUUCCUUUAUUAAUGCCACACCCCCUGAGCCUCCACAAACAGUGCCGUUAAAAUGGGACCAAGACUUGAAAUGCUGAGACCACAGGGGACCUUUAAUCCAAGUGCCAUCCUGUCUUCUCUCAAAAGAGAAAUCUUUUUGAAAAAUGGUUUCAGGGUUUACUAUUCUAAAAUAUUUCUGAAGAAAAAAUUUAUUACCCUAUGGAAGGAAAAACAAUAUCAUCAUGAAAGAAUAUCUAUAGCCAUGUUAUGAAAUAAUUAGUCACUAUAGAAGUGAAUGUCUAUGGCCAUAUUAAGAAAGUCUAGUUAGGUGAUUUUAGUACAAAGAUCUGAAUUUUCUCCUUCCUCCUUCCUUCCCUUCUUUUCUCCCUCCCUCCCUGCCUCCCUCCCUCCCUUUCUUCUUUCCUACUCCCUCCCUUCCUUCUUUCCUUCCUGUUGCUUUAUUUAUUUUAUUUUUUUUGAGACAAAGUUUUCCUAUGAGGCCUUGACUGACCUGGAACUCCUAGAGAUCCACCUGCCCCGCCUCUUCAGUGCUGGGUCAGUUGGAAAAGCCAUUCUUGUAACCAGACAUGCUUUCCUUUCCCUAGCCUCUGGGGCCCUUAGGGUAGAGGCUGACUUGUGUCUGUCUUUCUGUCCAUGUGACCGCCACACAAAAGUGUUCAAGUAGAUGACACGGAGGAUCUGUGAUCUGUGCUGCAGCCUCUCUGCCUGGUUGGUAUCUAGUGCUUGAGUUCACCAAGCUUGGUUUGCUGCUCAAUGUCAUCAUGGAUGCCAGAGGGCAUACAUCUCACUGUGUGUCGUCCCCUCCAUGGUGCUACUCACUGGUCCCUUCUUAUCAUUUCUUUCAGCGGAAGGUGUCACUUCCCCCAGCCUUCCCCAGCUACCUUUCCCCAGCUUCUUCAUUUCCUCACUGUCUCUUGCGAUACCUGUGCUCGAGUGGUCAGCGCGUCUUCCUCUUCUAACAUGUAGCUCUAUCAUGUUCUCUAUUUUUCUCUUCUGAGAUGGUGGCUGUCACACAGUGGGUGUUCAACACUUGCACAUUACUCAAGAGAUACUGAAAAAAGGCCCACCACAGUUCUUGUUGUCCCAGGCUCUGGUACAGUAGCCACCCCUGUUCUGGGAAAUGGUCCCUUGCUGACUAGGUCAGCAGGAACUGGCAAUGUCCCCAUGAUAGCAUUUUCCUCACAGCUGCCUCCCCCCCCCCAAGUGCAUGAGACCUUGAUGCAUUUCAAAGAAGACAUUCGAAUUCACAAGUGAUAGAAACUCACUUUGGCCAGCUUAACGUCUGGGAAGUGGCCACCUGCUUGUGCCUCAGUUUUCUUUCCUACAAAAAGAGGAGGGAGUAUAAUAAAUAUUAGCUGCCUCCCGGGGUCUUCAGGAAAAGGAUAUGACUUAGUAUAUGUAUAGCACUUGUGAUAAGUGUUAAACUAAGCACAUAGGAAACAUCUCUGAAAUGCUGUUUGCCCCUGUUGUCACUGGUGGUCAGGACAUGUUAAUGAAGAACAGCAAGGGCCUCUGGGUUUCAUGGAUAGAACCAGCCAACCAUCAAGGAGAUUUUCUGUUCUCUGCCAUGGCAUUAAGCUGCUUUGGUUCAUACAGGCCUCUGUUAUUCUUCUUUCUGGGCUUGUCAUUCUGUAAACACUGCUGUUUCUGGCCACAUCCUUCACACUUACUCCCCAAGUGGCAUACAUAGCUGCUCUUGGGUUUAAUUCUAAGGUUUUGGGAUAAAUCAAUGAGCCUUCCCCAGGUCAGAGGUCUGUCCCUGGAACAGUCAGUUGUGGCUGGGGCCUCUUGUCAUGGGAGGCACUCUAGAUGAGAUUCCUUCUUGUAGGCGAGAAGGGAAUUCUGCCAGGAGUGGACAGAGCUGCAAAGCGUGCCAGCUGGAGGUGGCUGCAGUCUUUCUGCGCUAAGGGCUUGCCUUCCUAUUCCAUCCCAUAUCCUUUCUUCUUACCUCUCCUCCCCCUUCCCUUCCCUUCUCUUCCUCUUUGCUUUUUUACUCUGUUCUUCCUCCCUUUUCUCCCCCUUCUCUUCUUGUCUUGUUAUAUCUCCCAGGCUGACCACAAAGCCUUCUCUCUUAGCUUGGUAUCUCACACCAUCCUGCCUGGCUCACUUUGCCUGCUUUUUAAUUCUGUCCAACACCCACACCCACACGGUCUCACCAAUAUUAUUGUUUUUAAAUACUCCCCGGUGCGUUUACCCCUAAUUGCUCUAGCUUCUUGCUUUCUGCUUUUGUAAACCACUUGGCUGUUUCCUGAUCUUAUAUUUGGCUGUCGUGAAUGUGGAAACUUCACAGAACCCUAGACUUUCCAAGUUGGAAGAGAAAACUGCUUUUCUAUGCUUGCAAUAAACAAACAAACACCUACAGCCAUCCCCUCCCAUAGUCACUGAAAUCAUAUUAGACUCAGCAUUCAGUUCCACACCUUUCUGAUGUAAUUAAUAGUGUCUGACUUCCAUGUUGGAACAAAGAAGUGGUUACAUAGAACCCCAUCACAUAAUAUACCAAGAGUUCAAGUCACUCACAGUGUCCAUUCUUAUGACUUGAGUAUAAAUGUCCCUCAAGCUCACAAGUUUGAAUAAUUAGUCUGGGACUGGUGGUGCUAUUUUGGGAGGUUGUGGUACUUUUUGAAGGUGGAACCUUGUUAGAGGAAGUUGGUCUCAGGGGGUGGGACUUGUGGUUGAUAGCCAGGUCCCACUUCUUGUCCUGGCUUUGCUACCUAACCUGUCCAGAUGUGGGCAAGCCCCCAUUGCCACAGCCAAUGCCCACUGCUUUUGCUGCCAGGAAGGGCUGAGCCCCUUAAACUGUGAAUGAACCCCCACCCUGAGGUGCUUCUUGUCAAGUAUUUGGUCACAGCAAGGAAAAAAGUCACUAUUUGUGGUUGUAAACAACAGGUUCCAAAAACCCAUGAGGGGGUCUUCCUUCCCUUCAUCUAGAUCCUGCUUCUAAUAGAGACUGCCCACCACAUCCCAUUGUCUAGAUUAGGUGUUCAAAUCCUUAUUCCUCCAGGAGCAAAGCAGCUAUCUUAAACAGGUAUAAGAAAUACCUGGAAACAAACCUUAGAGUGUUCUUCUCUCAUAUGGAAAAAUAGAGAAUUCAAUGGUCCAUGUCCUUGUAGCCUAUAGCCUUUACCUCUUUCACUGAGAUGUGCCUUGUUUUCUUUUUACUGUACUAUGGGGAAAACAUCAGUACAAGGAUGAUGUAGUUUGGCGAUGAUAACCAGUUUUGGUUAUAUAGAGGCAUCAGGGAGUGGUGGAGACUGUGGCAAAGUCCAGGGAAUGUACCUGACUUGACAGAAUGACCACGGCUGAGUUCAGGUUAGUGGUUGCCAAUAUGGUAAUACAGGCCCAGUACUGUCUUCCUUCCCUCCCUUCCUUUCUUUUCCAAGAGAGACACAAAUUAAAAUAUCAAUGGGAACUUUCCUAAUUUCAUAAUGUCGUGCUGAUAUAUUUUUUUAAAAAGAAACUAAAAAAC